UAAGAAACACGUUCACGCAAAGGCUU
RNAcentral lists this non-coding RNA (26 nucleotides) under Mus musculus (house mouse). The record is from RNAcentral. Lineage: Eukaryota; Metazoa; Chordata; Mammalia; Rodentia; Muridae.